UGUGUGUAAAAACCACAUGAGUAACUGGAGGUCAAGGCUGGUGCCAGCAUCCGCGGUAAUACCAGCUCCAGGAGUGUCUAUGAUGAUUGCUGCGAUUAAAAGGUCCGUAGUCGAAGAACAGUACUUGUUUGUAAUGUGGCUUAUCGAGAGCCGAAUAGAACGAGAAGAGUUCAGAGUAAGGAGCGAAGGAGGGCUAGAUUAUUGAGCAGCGAGAGGUGAAAUUUGAUGACCUGCUUAGGAGUAACAGAGGCGAAAGCGCUAGUCAAGAACGAAUCCGAUGAUCAAGGACGUAGGCUGGAGGAUCGAAGACGAUUAGAGACCGUAGUAGUUCCAGCAGUAAACGAUGCCUACGCUGUUGUGGUUAUGAGCACGGCAGAAGAGAAAUCUAGUAGGGCUUUGGGGAGAGUACGCGCGCAAGCGAUAAAUUUAAAGGAAAUUGACGGAAGAACACCACAAGGAGUGGAGUGUGCGGCUUAAUUUGACUCAACGCGGGACAGCUUACCAUACCCGAUGGCCGUGUGAGCGUAGUACGCGAUAGGUCAGAGAGUGGUGCAUGGCCGUUAACGACGAGUGGGGUGACCUUUGGGUUAAGUCCGCGAAGUAGUGAGAUCCCUAGGAUACGAAAGUUAUCGACAGGUGUUAAAAACACAGGAAGGAAGGGGCAAGAACAGGUCAGUGAUGCCCUUAGAUGGUAUGGGCUGCACGCGCACUACAGUGGUCACAGCAGAAACGGAUAGAAGUAAAUGUGAUCGAGAGGGAAUGAGCACUGUAAUGUGCACAGGAACGAGGAAUUG
RNAcentral lists this ribosomal RNA (794 nucleotides) under Spraguea sp. SP-1. Its description in RNAcentral is "SSU rRNA". It matches the Rfam family "Microsporidia small subunit ribosomal RNA", at positions 350 to 1136 of the family's 1311-position model. Lineage: Eukaryota; Fungi; Microsporidia; Spragueidae. The record is from RNAcentral.